GAGGACGUACCAUACGAUCAGCUCGGAAACAAUAUCGCUUUGCAUAAUAGAUACCGUGGUCUUAGGCAUAAAUCUGCUCUGCCUGGUGUGCGUUAUCUCGCAGUACCAGAAGUACGCCGAGGCGGCCGGGGGCGGACCGGCGCCAUCGCAGCUCUCCAUGAGACAGACGAAGAUCACGGACCCUACCACACUUCCCGGCCUCUCUGCUGAAACAUGUAACGGCAGGACGGACAACCAGCCGUCUCCUGUGUCCGCCGCACCAUAACCGCAGGACGGAGCAGCUGUAACGACAGGACAGGCCACCAGUCGUCGCCUGUACGUAUCUGCUACAACAGAAAGUGCUACAGACCAGACGCUACAGCGGGAAGGAGACCCAGCGGCCAGCCGGCUCCAUGCUCGGUGCACCGUGACACGUGCUUCGAAUCAAUUGUAAAGGCAGGAGAGCAGCACCUGCCACUAUCAUCUGACGCAGGGCAACGCCAGGCUCCGAGCGUUUGCCUCGAGAAAAACACUGCAGCGUCACAGACGCCUCAGGCCUAGCCACGUUCUCGCCUGCUGCUGACUGGAGUCUGAGCGCCCUGGUGCAACUCUGAACGCCUCGUGUGCGCCACAUUAACCCCAGAGCUGAGCAUGAUGGACGGCUUCAUCAGGCAACGCACUCAUGAGUGACAUUUGGCCGCCGGAACAUUCACUCUGCUGGAUUGUUCGGUCUAUAGCGCUCAAAACAGGGAAAUUUAAUUGGUUGCUCGA
This is a long non-coding RNA of Amphibalanus amphitrite, 750 nucleotides long. RefSeq lists it as uncharacterized. The record is from RefSeq and is a predicted model, not a curated record. The transcript has 3 exons. Lineage: Eukaryota; Metazoa; Arthropoda; Thecostraca; Balanomorpha; Balanidae.